This 258-nucleotide ribosomal RNA is filed under the name uncultured bacterium. RNAcentral's name for it is "partial 16S ribosomal RNA". It matches the Rfam family "Bacterial small subunit ribosomal RNA", at positions 524 to 776 of the family's 1533-position model. The record is from RNAcentral.
UACGUAGGGGGGCAAGCGUUGUCCGGAAUCAUUGGGCGUAAAGCGCGUGUAGGCGGCUCGAUAAGUCCGCUCUGAAAGUCCAGGGCUCAACCCUGGGAUGCGGGUGGAUACUGUCGGGCUCGAGUCCGGAAGAGGCGAGUGGGAAAUUCCUGGGUGUAGCGGUGAAAUGACGCAGAUAUCAGGAGGAACACCAAUGGCGAAGGCAGCUCGCUGGGACGUGACUGACGCUGAGACGCGAAAGCGUGGGGAGCAAACAGG